GCAUCAAGGAGCGGAAGAAGAAGUGGAAUCAGAAUCAACACUAGCGAAAGGAGAAAUCUGAAACGAGCCAUCGGUUGGCUGGGGUUUAGGGAUUCAACAGCAGUUUUGGGUAAUUGGCACAAGCUGUUUGAUAAUAUGCGCAAGAGAAACAGAUAGGAAAUAAGGAAGAUGAAGACUGGUGAGGCAUUUGACUUGACAAAUGAAAACCCAGUCUGUU
This 217-nucleotide unclassified non-coding RNA is filed under the name Hevea brasiliensis (rubber tree). The record is from RNAcentral. Lineage: Eukaryota; Viridiplantae; Streptophyta; Magnoliopsida; Malpighiales; Euphorbiaceae.